Molecule: small nuclear RNA, 132 nt
Organism: Quercus robur (English oak)
Lineage: Eukaryota; Viridiplantae; Streptophyta; Magnoliopsida; Fagales; Fagaceae
Source: RefSeq, a predicted model, not a curated record
GUGUUCGUAGAAAGGAAAGAUAGUUGGCAUCUCCCUUUGACACUAACAGGGACAGGAGCAGUCUUCGGACUUACCUAUUAUCACACACCCGUUAAGGUUAUCCACUUUGGUGGAUCUCUAACCCAAUUUUUU